AAUCUCCUUCGAUUGUUCCACGUAACUCCUCCAACUGCUUCUCCGAUUCAGUUCCUCUUCCUCCUUCUUAUUCUCACCACGCUUCUCUUUCUCCGCCAAUAUACCUUCUCCGUUCAUCUUCACCGAAGGAAUUCCGUUAUUCGGCGACAUCGCCGUCGUGGUUGUCUCCGGAACUUGGUCAACGGAAAGUGCGAAACGUGGAGGCAUGAUAGGAAUUCGGUUUGGCUUUAAUUUCAGGACUGUGUGAGACGGCUCCUCGCGGCCGUGAACGGGGAAAGAAGCGGCGGGACAUAGAGAAGCUCCGAUGGCCGCCAUGGCAGUUGGUGGAGGCGACUAAGGUACACUGUAAUACGUGUUUGAAAAAGUGGUAUAGAUGAAAAGAUAGAUAAAUCGAAAUGUUGAGCGUCUAGAUUAAAUUAUACGAGAAAAUGAAAAUCUGAA
This 441-nucleotide long non-coding RNA is filed under the name Lupinus angustifolius (narrow-leaved blue lupine). RNAcentral's name for it is "long non-coding RNA (LANG_LNC000474)". Lineage: Eukaryota; Viridiplantae; Streptophyta; Magnoliopsida; Fabales; Fabaceae. The record is from RNAcentral.